CCUACGGGAGGCAGCAGUGAGGAAUAUUGGUCAAUGGGCGCAAGCCUGAACCAGCCACCCCGCGUGCAGGAAGACGGCCCUAUGGGUUGUAAACUGCUUUUCCAGGGGGAGAAUUUUUCUGUCGUGACAGGAAUUGACGGUCCCCUGGGAAUAAGCAUUGUAUAAUUCCGCGCCAGCAGCCGCGGUAAU
This 189-nucleotide ribosomal RNA is filed under the name uncultured bacterium. Its description in RNAcentral is "partial 16S ribosomal RNA". It matches the Rfam family "Bacterial small subunit ribosomal RNA", at positions 338 to 524 of the family's 1533-position model. The record is from RNAcentral.